UGUUUGUAGGAAAAUUAUAUAUUUGGUUACAAAUAUUUUCUGCCCGGUGAAUUUUAAACGGCCGCGGUACUCUGACCGUGCAAAGGUAGCAUAAUCAUUUGCCUCUUGAUUGGGGGCUGGAAUGAAUGGAAAUAUCGAAACUUUCGCUGUCUCUUUUUUUGUUUUGGAAAUUGCUGUUUUUGUGAAGAAGCAUUGGUUUGGGAGAAAGACAAGAAGACCCUAUUAAACUUAAUUGUUUUGUCUCUAGACAUUGUAGAUAUUGUUUGAGUGCAUAAUAAUUUGGUUGGGGUGAUGAGAAAAGAGUUGAAAUCUUUUUUUUUUAGAGAAACGUAAUGGUUUAAAAAGGUUAAUAAGGUGUUUAGAAAAAAUGAAAAGUUACUAUAGGGAUAACAGCGUAAUUUUUUCUGAGAGUUCUUAUCGAAGAAAGAGAUUGCGACCUCGAUGUUGACUUGUUGUUUCCUAUUGGUGUAGAAGCUAUAAGGGUUAGUCUGUUCGACUAUUAAAAUAAU
RNAcentral lists this ribosomal RNA (509 nucleotides) under Lineidae sp. Pili_CB047_CB046_18_04. RNAcentral's name for it is "partial 16S ribosomal RNA". It matches the Rfam family "Bacterial large subunit ribosomal RNA", at positions 1818 to 2597 of the family's 2925-position model. The record is from RNAcentral. Lineage: Eukaryota; Metazoa; Nemertea; Pilidiophora; Heteronemertea; Lineidae.